GACGAACGCUGGCGGCGUGCCUAAUACAUGCAAGUAGAACGCACAGUUUAUACCGUAGCUUGCUACACCAUAGACUGUGAGUUGCGAACGGGUGAGUAACGCGUAGGUAACCUGCCUGGUAGCGGGGGAUAACUAUUGGAAACGAUAGCUAAUACCGCAUAAUAUUAAUUAUUGCAUGAUAAUUAAUUGAAAGGUGCAAUUGCACCACUACCAGAUGGACCUGCGUUGUAUUAGCUAGUAGGUGAGGUAACGGCUCAACUAGGCGACGAUACAUAGCCGACCUGAGAGGGUGAUCGGCCAAACUGGGACUGAGACACGGCCCAGACUCCUACGGGAGGCAGCAGUAGGGAAUCUUCGGCAAUGGACGAAAGUCUGACCGAGCAACGCCGCGUGAGUGAAGAAGGUUUUCGGAUCGUAAAGCUCUGUUGUAAGAGAAGAACGGGUGUGAGAGUGGAAAGUUCACACUGUGACGGUAUCUUACCAGAAAGGGACGGCUAACUACGUG
RNAcentral lists this ribosomal RNA (505 nucleotides) under uncultured bacterium. RNAcentral's name for it is "partial 16S ribosomal RNA". It matches the Rfam family "Bacterial small subunit ribosomal RNA", at positions 28 to 507 of the family's 1533-position model. The record is from RNAcentral.